This 245-nucleotide ribosomal RNA is filed under the name uncultured bacterium. RNAcentral's name for it is "partial 16S ribosomal RNA". It matches the Rfam family "Bacterial small subunit ribosomal RNA", at positions 524 to 768 of the family's 1533-position model. The record is from RNAcentral.
CACGUAAGGGGCGAGCGUUGUUCGGAAUUAUUGGGCGUAAAGGGCACGCAGGCGGUUAUGCAAGUCUGAUGUGAAAUCUCCGGGCUUAACUCGGAAUCCGCGUUGGAAACUGCAUGACUAGAGUAUUAGAGGGGGAGUCGGAAUUCCUAGUGUAGGGGUGAAAUCUGUUGAUAUUAGGAAGAACACCGGUGGCGAAGGCGGACUCCUGGCUGAAUACUGACGCUGAGGUGCGAAAGCAUAGGGAG